AGUGAACGCUGGCGGUAGGCCUAACACAUGCAAGUCGAACGGCAGCACAGUAAGAGCUUGCUCUUACGGGUGGCGAGUGGCGGACGGGUGAGGAAUACAUCGGAAUCUACUUUUUCGUGGGGGAUAACGUAGGGAAACUUACGCUAAUACCGCAUACGACCUACGGGUGGAAGCAGGGGAUCUUCGGACCUUGCGCGAUUGAAUGAGCCGAUGUCGGAUUAGCUAGUUGGCGGGGUAAAGGCCCACCAAGGCGACGAUCCGUAGCUGGUCUGAGAGGAUGAUCAGCCACACUGGAACUGAGACACGGUCCAGACUCCUACGGGAGGCAGCAGUGGGGAAUAUUGGACAAUGGGCGCAGGCCUGAUCCAGCCAUACCGCGUGGGUGAAGAAGGCCUUCGGGUUGUAAAGCCCUUUUGUUGGGAAAGAAAAGCAGCAGGUUAAUACCCCGCUGUUCUGACGGUACCCAAAGAAUAAGCACCGGCUAACUUCGUG
This 492-nucleotide ribosomal RNA is filed under the name uncultured bacterium. Its description in RNAcentral is "partial 16S ribosomal RNA". It matches the Rfam family "Bacterial small subunit ribosomal RNA", at positions 29 to 507 of the family's 1533-position model. The record is from RNAcentral.